Molecule: unclassified non-coding RNA, 378 nt
Filed under: plant metagenome
Description: partial contains 5.8S ribosomal RNA, internal transcribed spacer 2, and large subunit ribosomal RNA
Rfam family: 5.8S ribosomal RNA (bases 1-105)
Source: RNAcentral
GAAAUGCGAUAAGUAAUGUGAAUUGCAGAAUUCAGUGAAUCAUCGAAUCUUUGAACGCACCUUGCGCUCCUUGGUAUUCCUUGGAGCAUGCCUGUUUGAGUAUCAUGAAAUCUUCAAAGUAAAUCUUUUGUUAACUCAAUUGGUUUCUACUUUGGUAUUGGAGGUCUUUGCAGCUUCACACCUGCUCCUCUUUGUUCAUUAGCUGGAUCUCAGUGUUAUGCUUGGUUCCACUCGGCGUGAUAAGUUAUCUAUCGCUGAGGACACUGUAAAAGGUGGCCAAGGUAAAUGCAGAUGAACCGCUUCUAAUAGUCCAUUGACUUGGACAAUACUUUUAUGAUCUGAUCUCCAAUCAGGUAGAACUACCCGCUGAACUUAGGC